Molecule: ribosomal RNA, 83 nt
Filed under: Chitinophagales bacterium
Lineage: Bacteria; Pseudomonadati; Bacteroidota; Chitinophagia; Chitinophagales
Description: partial 16S ribosomal RNA
Rfam family: Bacterial small subunit ribosomal RNA
Source: RNAcentral
ACAAUGGAGAGUUUGAUCCUGGCUCAGGAUGAACGCUAGCGGCGGGCUUAAUACAUGCAAGUUGAACGCUCAGUAGCAAUACU